GAAUUUUCCUCGGAAGAAGAACUAAGAGUGGCAACCACACCCACAAUGUUCACUAAAAAUGAGGCAUUGUAAGAUGAUUGAAAACAUUUUAUGGCAUGUUCUAUAGAUCCCAAGUGAAUGAGCCUAAGGACAAGGCUUUGAAUAGAGGGCAAGGAACUAGUGACACUCAUGUAUGCUUCGAUAUCAUAAAAAAUGGUUGCACUCAAAUCUGGGCAAGAUUGAAGAAAAUGAGAAGCGGAGGGAGCCU
Non-coding RNA from Schizosaccharomyces pombe (fission yeast), 247 nucleotides. Lineage: Eukaryota; Fungi; Ascomycota; Schizosaccharomycetes; Schizosaccharomycetales; Schizosaccharomycetaceae. The record is from the annotation of a GenBank genome assembly.